UUCAUUAAGCAUUAAACAUCUAUCUUAAAAUGUAAAAUAUAUAAUAUACGUAAAUACUCAAUUUAAAAAAAUGGAUGAUAUUUUAAAAUAAAAAAUAUAGAUAUUACGUAAAUAAAAAAUAUAAGAAAUGGAAAUAAACAUUUUAAAAAAUGGAAAAAGUACAUUAAGAUUUAAACAUCUAUCUUAAAAUGUACAUUUAUCUUAAAAUGGUAGUAAAUUAUAUAAAAAUGGAAAUACCACAUUAAACAAAAAAAAUGUAUAGUUUUAUAUCAAGAAAGUCCCUAUAAAAUUCAUUAUUCCAUCAACAUCUACCUCACACUAUCAAGGAAAACUUCAAAGCACUGGAGCAAAAUAAUGGUUCCACCAUCAACUCUUGUCGUCCCAAAAACCUUUAAUGACCUUGAAGGAGAUUUUUUAUAAC
This 421-nucleotide long non-coding RNA is filed under the name Brassica napus (rape). RNAcentral describes it as "long non-coding RNA (BNAP_LNC021910)". The record is from RNAcentral. Lineage: Eukaryota; Viridiplantae; Streptophyta; Magnoliopsida; Brassicales; Brassicaceae.